AGGGGGGGGCGCCGGGGGGCUUCCACUUAUUCUACACCUCUCAUGUGUCUUCACCGUGCCAGACUAGAGUCCAAGCUUCAGCAGGGUCUUCUUUCCCCGCUGAUUUCCGCCAAGCCCCCGCCGGGUCCGCCCCCGGGGCCGCGGUUCCGCGCGGCGCCUCGCCUCCGCCGGCGCCUAGCAGCCGACUUAGAACUGGUGCGGACCAGGGGAAUCCGACUGUUUAAUUAAAACAAAGCAUCGCGAAGGCCCGCGGCGGGUGUUGACGCGCUGGGAUUUCUGCCCAGUGCUCUGAAUGUCAAAGUGAAGAAAUUCAAUGAAGCGCGGGUAAACGGCGGGAGUAACUAUGACUCUCUUAAGUAGCCAAUUCCUCGUCCUAAUUAGUUACGCGCAUAAAUUGAAUGAACGAGAUUCCCACUGUCCCUACCUAGUAAACGAGAUUCCCACUGUCCCUACCUCAACUCCAGAGAAACCCACAGCCAAGGGAACGGGCUUGGCCGAAAUUAAGCGGGGAAAGAAGACCCUGUUGAGCUUGACUCUAGUCUGGCACGGUGAAGAGACAUGAGAGGUGUAGAAUAGGGGGAGCCCCCCCGGCGCCCCCCCGUCCCCGCGAGGGGCGGGGGCGGGGUCCGCCGGCCUUGCGGGCCGCCCGGUGAAAUACCACUACUCUGAUCGUUUUCACUGACCCGGUGAGGCGGGGGGGCGAGCCCCGAGGGGCUCUCGCUUCUCGGGGGGCCUCUUCGUUUCGGGCGCCAGGCCCCGGGCCGCCUUCGGGCGCCAGGCGCCGGGCCGCGCGCCGGCGGGGGCGGACCCCGCUCCGGGGACAGUGCCAGGUGGGGAGUUUGACUGGGGCGGUACACCUGUCAAACGGUAACGCAGGUGUCCUAAGCCGAGCCUCAGGGAGACAGAAACCUUCCCGUGGAGCAGGAAGGGGCAAAAGCUCGCUUGAUCUGAUUUUCAGUACGAAUAAGACCAGUGAAAGCGGGGCCUCACGAUCCUUCCUGACCUUUUGGGUUUUUUAAAGCAGGAGGUUGUCAGAAAAGUUACCACAGGGAUAUCUGGCUCUUGUGCCGGCCAAGCGUUCAUAGCGACGUCCGCUUUUUGAUCCCUUCGAUGUCGGUUCCUUCCUAUUCAUGUGAAGCAGAAUUCACCAAGCGUUGUGGAUUGUUCACCCACUAAUAGGGAACGUGAGCUUGGGGGUUUAGACCGUCGUGAGACAGGUUAGUUUUACCUACUGAUGAUGUGUUGUUGCCAUGGUAAAUCCUGCCAGUACGAGAGGGGAACCGCAGGUUCAGACAUUUGGUGUAUGUGCUUGGCUGAGGAGCCAAUGGGGCGAAGCUACCAUCUGUGGGAUUUAUACUGAACGCCUCUAAGUCAGAAUCCCGCCCAGGCGGAACGAUACGGCAGCGCCGCGGAGCCUCGGUUGGCCUCGGAUAGCCGGUCCCCCGCCGUCCCCGCCGGCGGGCCGCCCCGCCCCGCGCGGGGCGCGCCCCGCCGCGCGCCGGGACCGGGGUCCGGUGCGGAGUGCCCCUCGUCCUGGGAAACGGGGUGCGGCCGGAAAGGCGGCCCGCCCCCUCGCCCGUCACGCAACGCACGUUCGUGGGGAACCUGGCGCUAAACCAUUCGUAGACGACCUGCUUCUGGGUCGGGGUUUCGUACGUAGCAGA
RNAcentral lists this ribosomal RNA (1664 nucleotides) under Callithrix jacchus (white-tufted-ear marmoset). RNAcentral's name for it is "eukaryotic LSU rRNA". The stretch from base 1 to 1405 matches the Rfam family "Eukaryotic large subunit ribosomal RNA", at positions 2029 to 3401 of the family's 3401-position model. The record is from RNAcentral. Lineage: Eukaryota; Metazoa; Chordata; Mammalia; Primates; Cebidae.